GACGAACGCUGGCGGCGUGCUUAACACAUGCAAGUCGAACGGAAAGGCCCUGCUUUUGUGGGGUGCUCGAGUGGCGAACGGGUGAGUAACACGUGAGUAACCUGCCCUUGACUUUGGGGUAACUUCAGGAAACUGGGGCUAAUACCGGAUAGGAGCUUCUGCUGCAGAGUGGGGGUUGGAUAGUUUCGGCGGUUGGGGAUGGACUCGCGGCUUAUCAGCUUGUUGGUGGGGUAGUGGCGUACCAAGGCUUUGACGGGUAGCCGGCCUGAGAGGGUGACCGGCCACAUUGGGACUGAGAGACGGCCCAGACUCCUACGGGAGGCAGCAGUGGGGAAUAUUGCACGAUGGGCGGAAGCCUGAUGCAGCAACGCCGCGUGCGGGAUAACGGCCUUCGGGUUGUAAACCGCUUUCGCCUGUGGCGAAGCGUGAGUGACGGUAAUGGGUAAAGAAGCACCGGCUAACUACGUG
Molecule: ribosomal RNA, 468 nt
Filed under: uncultured bacterium
Lineage: Bacteria
Description: partial 16S ribosomal RNA
Rfam family: Bacterial small subunit ribosomal RNA
Source: RNAcentral